Molecule: ribosomal RNA, 969 nt
Filed under: Triticum aestivum (bread wheat)
Lineage: Eukaryota; Viridiplantae; Streptophyta; Magnoliopsida; Poales; Poaceae
Description: partial small subunit ribosomal RNA
Source: RNAcentral
AUGGCGAGGCGAGGGCUGGCGGCUGGCGCCGGCGCCGUCUCCAGGGUUCGAUUCGCGCCGUCCUCCAACAACCUCAUAGUCUCCUCCUGGGACUCGGGGCUGCGGCUGUACGAUGCGGACAAAUCCAUUCUCCGGCUGGAGGCGAAUUCCGAGGCAGCACUUCUGGACUGCUGCUUCAAGGAUGAGUCUGUGGCGUUCGCAGGCGGUUCAGAUGGAUCUGUAAUAAGGUAUGACUUGGAUUCAGGGGCUCAAGAUACAGUGGGUCUGCAUGACGAUGUGGUUGUCAGCACUGAGUUCUCCCAGAUUACUGGUCAAUUGGUAACUUCUAGCCUUGACAAGAAGUUACUUUUCUGGGAUACACACACAAGAAGUGUAAACGCUAACCACACUUUCAUGUUAGAUUCAGUGGUGGUAUCACUUUCAGUCUGUGGCAUGUAUAUAUUAGUCACAGUUGAGAACGAUGUUUACUGGUAUGACAUGAGGAAUUUAACAGCGCCGAUUAAGGCAAGAGAUUCCCCCCUGAAGCAUCAUAUACGGUGUCUUUGUGCUUCUGCAGAGUGGAACGGUUACGCGGCUGGAUCUAUGGAUGGAACUGUUGCGUUGAAGUAUUUUGACCAUAAAGUAGACAAUGACAUGGGAUAUACAUUUCGAUGUCACCCAAGAUCAAAAGAUGGAACAUCCAGUUUAGUUCCCAUAAAUAGUAUAGCAGUUCAUCCAUCCAAGCAAACUUUUGUUACUGGAGAUAAUGAAGGAUAUGCCAUUGCUUGGGAUGCUUUAUCAAAAAAGAAGCUGCUUGAGUUUCCUAGCUUUUCGGGCAGUGUGGUGUCAAUGGCGUAUAACCAUAGUGGCCAACUUUUGGCAGUUGCUUCAAACUUUACUCAUCAAGGAGCAGACAGAGUGCUGGAGGUGGAGGGGCACCAUAUAUUUAUCGAAACGAUGCGGGAUUCCAAAAGGAAGAAGUCUCCCUGA